Molecule: ribosomal RNA, 1213 nt
Filed under: metagenome
Description: SSU rRNA
Rfam family: Eukaryotic small subunit ribosomal RNA
Source: RNAcentral
AGUCUGGUGCCAGCAGCCGCGGUAAUUCCAGCUCCAAUAGCGUAUAUUAAAGUUGUUGCAGUUAAAAAGCUCGUAGUUGGAUCUGGGGUUCGGGUCGGCGGUUUGCCGCUUCGGCGGCUACUGCCGUGCUCGACUCUUACUAGCCGGUGCGUCUUGCGGUGCUCUUCAUCGAGUGCCGUAGGAGCCUGGCAUGUUUACUUUGAAAAAAUUAGAGUGCUCAAAGCAGGCGAUUCCGCCUGAAUAGUGUUGCAUGGAAUAAUGGAAUAGGACCUCGGUUCUAUUUUGUUGGUUUUCGGAACUUGAGGUAAUGAUUAAGAGGGACGGUCGGGGGCAUUCGUAUUUCGGUGUUAGAGGUGAAAUUCUUGGAUCGCUGAAAGACGGACAAAUGCGAAAGCAUCUGCCAAGAACGUCUCCAUUAAUCAAGAACGAAAGUCAGAGGUUCGAAGACGAUCAGACACCGUCCUAGUUCUGACCAUAAACGAUGCCAACUAGCGAUCCGCAGUGGUUGCUAUAAACGGACUCUGCGAGCAGCUUCCGGGAAACCAAAGUGUUUGGGUUCCGGGGGAAGUAUGGUUGCAAAGCUGAAACUUAAAGGAAUUGACGGAAGGGCACCACCAGGAGUGGAGCCUGCGGCUUAAUUUGACCCAACACGGGGAAACUCACCCGGUCCGGACACUGUAAGGAUUGACAGAUCGAGAGCUCUUUCUUGAUUCGGUGGAUUGUGGUGCAUGGCCGUUCUUAGUUGGUGGAGUGAUUUGUCUGGUUAAUUCCGAUAACGAACGAGGCUCUAGCCUGCUAACUAGUUGCGCCGUGUUCAUACGCGGCUGUAGACUUCUUAGAGGGACAGGUGGCGUUUAGCCACACGAAAUUGAGCAAUAACAGGUCUGUGAUGCCCUUAGAUGUCCGGGGCCGCACGCGCGCUACACUGAAGGAGUCAGCGUGUGCUAUCCGGGCUCGGAAGAGUUCGGUAACCCGUUGAAACUCCUUCGUGCUUGGGAUUGUGGCUUGUAAUUAUCGCGCAUGAACGAGGAAUUCCCAGUAAGUGCAAGUCAUCAGCUUGCGCUGACUACGUCCCUGCCCUUUGUACACACCGCCCGUCGCUACUACCGAUUGAAUGGUUUAGCAAGGUACUCGGAUUGGUCUCGAUCUUGUACGAAAGUGCGGGAUCUGUGGCCGAGAAGAAGGCCAAACUUGAUCAUUUAGAGGAAGUAAA